RNAcentral lists this ribosomal RNA (433 nucleotides) under uncultured bacterium. RNAcentral describes it as "partial 16S ribosomal RNA". It matches the Rfam family "Bacterial small subunit ribosomal RNA", at positions 29 to 507 of the family's 1533-position model. The record is from RNAcentral.
AACGAACGCUGGCGGCAUGCCUAACACAUGCAAGUCGAACGAGACCUUCGGGUCUAGUGGCGCACGGGUGCGUAACGCGUGGGAACCUGCCCUUAGGUUCGGAAUAACUCCCCGAAAGGGGUGCUAAUACCGGAUAAUGUCUUCGGACCAAAGAUCUAUCGCCUUUGGAUGGGCCCGCGUUGGAUUAGCUAGUUGGUAGGGUAAAAGCCUACCAAGGCGACGAUCCAUAGCUGGUCUGAGAGGAUGAUCAGCCACACUGGGACUGAGACACGGCCCAGACUCCUACGGGAGGCAGCAGUGGGGAAUAUUGGACAAGGGGCGAAAGCCUGAUCCAGCAAUGCCGCGUGAGUGAUGAAGGCCUUAGGGUUGUAAAGCUCUUUUACCCGGGAUGAUAAUGACAGUACCGGGAGAAUAAGCACCGGCUAACUCCGUG